UGUUGUUUUAAAACUGACUUGAAAAAUUGUGAGCGUAUCCUUUAAUGUUGAAGUCGAACCAUCAUCAACUCAGACAUGACAGCUGCCCUCGCUGUCUUUGCCACUGCACUGCUGCUGACCUCUGCGGCAAAGCUGCUGCAACUCUGAUGCAAUAAUUCUUACCUAAUGCUGUUGGCCUGUCUUGUAAAGGGGCACUUUGCCAAAAUAGGCUUUUAAAAACUUUUUCAGUUGAUAUUGAGCUCACAUGGUACACUUUCUUAAAUACAUUUUGUCACAAAAUAAUUUGAUUCAGGUCAGACCUGGAUAAGCCAAUUAGUCUUCCAGCUAGGAGUACUGCUUGGGAAAAUAAUGUGAGUCUGGUGUACACAGUACAUGAUGGGCAUUUGAAGGUAUACAGUAAGAGUUCCAUACCUUAUUUAAGUCCCUAGUGGAUUAAUCCAGCCAUGAUUGGACAGACCUGAAGCAGCCACACUCUGGGCCUGACUUUGAUGAAAACUGGAGGUGGAGAGAUGCAGAGAACAUAAGACAGCAAUGCCAGGCAAAGCUUCCAACACCCACUGUGAACUGCAUAGCAAAUGCAGAGUUCUUGGAGUACUAGCAGAGAAUUCCCUCCCCUUUGCUAUUGCUCCAAUAAUCAUGGAGCUUGCUCAAAAUCUUGCUCUGGACAAAGUGGCUUUGCAGGGAAUAAAGGUUUCCACUAAAAGCUUUAACAUCGGCAUCGUACAAGAUGGUCCAUGGCCUAGGGCGGACUUUGUCUGAAAGGACCUUCUCCAACCUGAGGAGAUUUCCCUUUUCCUUAAACUUGGACGAAAGUACAUCAAACAACAACAAAAAGGUCCUCUCCAUGCUUGUCAGCUUCUACCAUGAUGACUUGAGGCAGGUGAUGGUGGAGCAUUUGGGGUCCCUAGAGGUCAUGAAAGUAAAUGUCACCACCUUGGGGAGGGUGCUCUGCAAGUUCUUUGACCAAAAUAAAAUACCACAGAAACAUCUGGCAUGACACAGCAAGGCAAAGACAGGAAGAAAAGGGUCUGUUGAAAGAUGAGGGGACUAUAACGCUACUACAGCUCAACAUUUACAUGGGUGUAUUGGCAUAUCCUGAAGGAAUAUGUCAUGGUUUUCCAAGGUAGCCAGAUGUUGGUGCAACUCCAAGACAAGCAGCUUGAGCUGUUCCUGGCUUUCCUGGCUUGCUUCCUAAAAGGGGAACAUAUCACUCAGUGUCACCCAGGGCUCUGAGAGAGAUGGUCCUGGAGGAUGACAUGCUGCUGCCUGCCAGGGAGAUGUGUGUGGGACUGGAAGCAGACACAUUCAGGGUCAGGGAUCCCAAUCACACUCCAUUCAUGGAAAAGAUGAGAAAAGCCUACAUCCACCACUACUGCUUGCUAUAUGCAGAGGAAGCUCCCCUUGGCCAGCCAGACACUGAGGGCCCUUUCUGCUCUGGACCCACUUCUGAGAGGUCACUGACAGGCAACCAUCCAGCUGCAGACAUUGAGUGGAAUGCUGGGCCACCUCUUACCAGCUGGCAAUGACAUCCACCAAGGGAUCAUAUGGUACAAUGUUGAUCUGUGCCUGGCCAGGUUCAAGGACGUAGAGAGCAUGGUGGAGUGGUGGGGCCAUGUCUUUGAGACAUGAGAAAGUCAAAUACACCCUCCAGUCCAGUGAGAAAAUGGCUGUCCAGCUCUUCAAAAGGGAGGAUGUCAGGUACAGGGAGGAGGACCGCACCUCUCCAUACCUGACAAGAACAUCCAGUCAGCAGAAACCACUGACGGCAAGCAACAGCAGCAGAACAAGUAUGGCUGCCAAUCAUCUGGUUGUGCUCAGGAGAGCAAAACGCAGACAGCUGAAGAGGAAAAGAGGGCAAGGCUGAGGCAUAUGGCAAAACAGCAAAAGCGGGCCCUUGAGACACUGGUCCAGGCCAAGAAGAAAAAACUACACACAGACCCCUCUAGCCCUGUCUCCCCCACCAGUCCUAAAGCAUAGGAAACUCUUUCAUAUUCACAUGUGUGUGUUUAAGUAAUCAUUUUGAAAAUAAUUGUAAUUAGUUGUGUACCUGGUGGGGCUGCCCUUUGUUAAUUUUCUUUGUAAAUGUGAGCAUAUUAUACAUAGAGGUACAUUUGCACUUACUAAAAGAAUACUCUGUACUAUAUUUUGCUCAAUCUUGUAAUUCUGUUAGCUUGUGACCAACACCAGAGUAAUCCUAAAAGUCAUCAAAAAUGAGCAUUUAGGAGCUUAUUUUUCAAAGAAAAAUCUCUGCAGGAGCAUACCCCCGGAUUAGUUCAAUUAGUACCUGCAGGUAUGCAACCUCCAACCAGCUGUGGCUUAAUCAUGUCUGCUGGCAAGUGACUUCCUCUGUUCUUUGUCUCACAGGAUUAUCCAUCACCGCUCUUCAGUAUGCUUUGGGAAUAUGUAUGUAUGUUUUAGCCGUGGCUCAUGGAGCUGUAUUGAUUUGGCAGGGUUGUUAAUUUGUCAUUUACAUGCUGCAGUUCCUCAAAUUCAGCAUAUGCAGGGGAUUCUGAUUUGAUCCUUGGAACCAAUACAUUUCCUGUCAUGGUAAUAUGAGUUGGUAGGCUAAUUCCUUUAUAAGCCUAACAGCUGUGGUUAAUGAAAACACAAAACAGAUAUUUCAGUGCCUUAGAGGAAACAAAGGGAAUGUGCUUUAUUUUAAAAUGAGACAACUACCAGCUGACAAAAUGAUUACUGGCCUUGAAAUUAGACUAUUGCUUAUUAUAGUUUUUACAUGUAUAUAAUAUUCUCACCAUUCUAUUCUUUCAACUUUACUGUAAGGGCUGCCCUACAUUGAUUUUUUGAUCAUGAAUAAAUCAAGGAGCAGGUCAUUAUCCUUAAGCUGCCACAAUGAUAAUGCAUGGCAACUCAGAUGAAUUUGAACAGUCACACGCUGAUUUAUACACAUAUGAGCAAAAUUAUUCAGCCAAAUGUCUUUAUUAUGAAACUUAAUUAAAGGGUUAGUUUGACAUUUGGGAAGAACAGUAAUUUGCUCUCUUGCCGAGAGUUAGAUACCACUCUCAUAUCUGUUCAUAAAUAUGAAGCCAACAGCUAGCUCUGUCCAAAGAUUUAAAAAAUCCAUCUACCAGUAUCUCUAAGCUCACUAAUUGACGUUAUAUCUUAAACCAAAGUGUAAAAGAGAUGCCUGGGACACACUGGAUGCGUGAGCAGCAUGUGUGUGUCACGGAACCUCUUGCUUUUCAUUUUGACGCCCAUGUUAACAGGUUUAGAGCACACUGCUGCGUCAAGUCAUCUAGAGAUUCGAGGUCUCGUCUAUUUUCUCUGCGUGAUGCGCACGGUUAUUAACAGAAAUAGACAGGGAAAGCGAUAGAAAGAUAGGGCUGCCAGUGGCAGAAGCGCCGCAGCAGACACGCUUCCUGUGUGGACGCUGCAAGCGUGAGAGACGCAGCAGUUCAGUGACGCACACGCACUGCUGAGGUUUACGCAUCUAGUGUGUCCCAGGCGAGAAUAUUCAGUUUUUCAGCAGAUUAAACAAACAAGAUAUAACUUGUUGGUUAGAGAGCUUUAGACGUGCUGGUAAAUGGAUUUUGUCACCUGUAGACUGCCAAGCAAAGUAGCUAGCUGUUUCCUCUGCAUUAUUAUGGAUCCCACUGACCCUAACCCUAACCCUAACCAAUCUCACACCUCAUACCUAAACCUAACAAACCCAACCAACAAGUACCAGCCAUUUAGAGGGAGAGUAGGUCAGGUCUUGCCAAGAAAAGCAGUGGGAUCCAUAAUAACGCAUUUCCCCCUGUUUACAAUCGCUAUGCUACACUAAGCUACACAGGUGCUGUCUGUAGUUUCGUAUUUAACAGACAGAUAUGAGAGUGGAAGAGAUCUUAUCUAACUCACAGCAAGAAAGCAAAUAAGUGCGUUUCCCAAAAUGUAAAACAAUUGCUUUAAUUGGUGAGCUUUAAAGGUAUUU
Thunnus maccoyii (southern bluefin tuna) is the source of this 3928-nucleotide long non-coding RNA. RefSeq lists it as uncharacterized. The record is from RefSeq and is a predicted model, not a curated record. NCBI's taxonomy places the organism in Eukaryota, Metazoa, Chordata, Actinopteri, Scombriformes, Scombridae. The transcript is spliced from 8 exons.